CGAGCCCAAAAAUGGCGGCCGCCUCCUCCAUGCUCACCGCCGCGUCGCUCUCCUUCUCCCCGCUCCCAGCUCCGCGCCUCCCGGCCGCCGCCUCCUUCGCUCCGCCGCGCCGCGCGGCAGCCGCACUCGUCGUGCGCGCGGCGGCCGCCUCGUCCAAGUCCCCGGCCGCGGCGGAGACGGCCCCGAAGAAGAAGAGGGCGACCGGCAUCACCCAGCCGAAGCCCGUGUCGCCGGCGCUGCAGGCAAUCGUGGGCGAACCGGUUAUCCCCCGCACCGAGGCCCUCAAGCGCCUCUGGGCCUACAUCAAGGAGCAUAACCUCCAGGUCCCGAGCAAAAACCCUUGCUUACUUACGCUGUAUCUGUACAUUGUGGUUGGUAUAGCUUGUUUGGAUGCAUGCUGAAGAUGUUUAAUAGCGCCAAGCAGGAAUUGAUGUG
This 435-nucleotide long non-coding RNA is filed under the name Sorghum bicolor (sorghum). RNAcentral's name for it is "long non-coding RNA (SBIC_LNC000106)". Lineage: Eukaryota; Viridiplantae; Streptophyta; Magnoliopsida; Poales; Poaceae. The record is from RNAcentral.